RNAcentral lists this long non-coding RNA (9147 nucleotides) under Sus scrofa (pig). Its description in RNAcentral is "lncRNA (ENSSSCG00015034477.1)". Lineage: Eukaryota; Metazoa; Chordata; Mammalia; Artiodactyla; Suidae. The record is from RNAcentral.
UGUGUGUGUGUGUGUGUGUGUAUUUUUUUUUUUCCCAGCAUGGAAGACUGUGUUUGACCAUUUCUCCAAAUAUAUAACCUUAUUGAAAGGACAAACAAAAAUAACUAGUGCAGAUAGUGUUUUGAUUUCCAUAUCAUUAGCCAGAUUUUUAUACUUGUGGUUAGUCUUAGAGUAUGUAUCAUUGCCAAGUAAAAUAUAUAUUACUUGUUAAUAUAAAAAAAACGAGUGACAACUUUAGUAUUAGUAUAUUUUAGUCAAUUAAGUUGAAAGUCUAUAAAUAGGUAUAGCAAAUUGAAUGGUGACCCCUCCAAAAGACAUGGACCCUCAAAAUGUAACCUUAUUUGGAAUAAGGGUCUUUUUAUUUAGGACUGCACUCGCAGCAUAGAGAUUCCCAGGCUAGGGUCCUAAUCGGAGCUGUAGCUGCCAGCCUAUGCCACAGCUCACUGCAAUGCCAGAUCUUUAACCCACGAAGUGAGGCCAGGGAUUGAAACUGUAUCCUCAUGGAUGCUAGUCAGAUUAGUCUUGGCUGAGCCACAACAGGAACUCUAUUUGCUGUUAGGAUAAGGAUUUCAAAAUGGGAUUAUUUUAGAUUAGGGUGGGCCCUAAAUCCAAUGACAAGUACUUCUGUAAAAGACAAAAAGAAGACAAAGAAAGGCUUGUGAAGAAGGAAGCAGAGAUUGGAAUGUUACCUGUAAAACCAAAGGAUAUCAGAAUUUCCAGCAGUCACCAGAAGUUGGAAGAUGCAAAUCCUCAUCUCCUAGAUCCUUUGGAACCUUGUUAAUGCCUUGGUUUUGGACUUUUGGCUUUCAGAACUGUGAGAAAAUAGAUUUCCAUUGUCUCAAGGUCCUUAGCUUGUGGUAAUUUGUUACAACUGCCCUAGGAAACUGGUAUGAUGAGCUAAAUAAAUCCAUCAUCUGGUGAUGUAUUGACUGAGUGAAUGGCUUUGACUUUAUAACUCCCACACCUGACAUCGUAACACCCUCACCUUACUUCCGUCCGUAACAUCUUCUGAUCCUGUCUCUGCAAGUGAGAGGCACACAUGUAGGCACAAGAGGCAAGACACAUGCACAUGGAUAAACAUUGAGAAGACAGUAGAAAGUGGACAAGUAGCAAUGAUACUGCCAAGAAUGAGGAAAUUGGCAGGAAAAGAGAAAAGCAAAGAUUGUGAAGAUGGCUUUUGAAAUUGUAAGGACACAGGUUUAAAGAAACAAAGAUCUGGGAGUUCCCAUGGGUGGCUCAGCAUUAACGAAUCUGACUAGUAUCCUUGAAGAUGUGGCUUCCAUCCCUGGCCCUGCUGAAUGGAUUAAGAAUCUGGUGUUGCCUCAAGCUGUGGUGUAGGUUGCAGACAUAGCUAUAGCUCUAAUUCGACCCCUCUCCUGGGAAUUUCCAUAUGCCAAGGGUUUGGCCCUAAAAAAAAAUGAAACGAACAAACAAACAGAUCUAAAAUAGCUGUGUUUAUAAAGAGUCAUGACCUUGGUUUAUGAUAUUCUCAAUAUACACACAAAAAAAUAGUAAAUAGCCUUUACCCUUGAAUUCCACAAUCAGAGUUUAACCCAAGGGCUCUGAGGUAAUUGAAAUUAGGACAUUUCGUUUUGUUAUUAUACCUAUAUUGACCUCUGAGAGUGUGUGAGUGCAUGUGUGACUGAGACAUGGGUUGGGAAGCACAUUCUUACCUUCUAGGUUGUCUGUUUCACAACCAAAGUGUGGAUAGGGCAAUAGUCAUUGGUCUCCGUGGAUGAAUACCUGUGUGAUUAGUUCUAUGCAGGUUCCAAUCCAUUGCCAAAGCUGCCUGAUCCAGCAGGGUGUGAAAAUUAUUGAUAUAUUAGGUGUGUGAAAGAAAUGGGUGGCUUUUAAAUAGUUUGCUCCAUCUGUGUCACUAAUAUGGGUAUUUCCACUCUGUAGCCCCACAAAUCUAUAUUCAAAUUCAAUGACAAACUUUUUAAAAAACAUAACUCAUCAAGUUUUAGUGCUGCUUAAGACAAGGACCCUGCCUGUGUAAGGCCAUCAAGCACUAAUAUUGACUCUGCAGGACAUUUUAAAGGCUAUUUAUAUCACAAUAAAGGUGCUUUAUUAGCCUCAUCAAUCAGGAGACUGCAAAUUCCACCCUGGAAUCAGCUCUGCCUGAACCCGUGGAACAGGGAAGGGUGAGAAAUUAUGGGAUGCAUUAUCUUCAAUCUCAUUUGAAACUUCCUAAUUGAAACAAUGGACGAGUUUAUUGCUUAUAAAAUAAAUGAAGGAGGCACCACUAAUGUAAUAAUGAGAGUUUAGGCUUCUGGUUGUUUUUCCCCUACUCGACAGAGAGUUGGUGGUCAGCCAGCAGAGUGAUUCCUGGUUUCCAUAGCUAGAGACACAAUGCAUCUGUCAUUUGACCAAGACGAAUGGACUGGCCAUGCAGUAGGGCUGCACCCAGCUUAUAGCACAGGCCUUGACUAGUAGUUCCUGUCAUCUGUGUCUUGGCAAGUAAUACUCUUUUUCCCUGGGUCAAGGAAAUGCUGCCUCAUAGCAGUUAACAGCUCAGUCUCAGGAGUCAGACAAGAUUGGAUUCAAAUUCCACCUGACUUAUUUGAACUUGAUUUUUUUCCUCAACUGAAAAACAGGGGACCUAUAUCUUAGGGUUGUUGUGAGAAGUGGCAUAGUUAAUUCCCAGUGCAUGGCAAGCACUCAGUAAAUGCUUUCUAUUUACAUUGUUGGUUUUGACAGGUUAUAACUUCUGGUUUGAUAUAAGAAGAUGCAGUUGAUGGUGAUGUUUGUAAGAUUAAGAAUGCCAGUUUUAGUGUCAGAGUCAGAUUUAAACUCUGCCAUUUAUGACCUGUGAAUUCUUGAAAAAUAAACUUACUUUCUCUGGCUUUUAGCCCCCUAAACUGUAAAUGAUUAUGAACAUAAUCAUGCCACCCCCUCCAAGCUGUUGUAAAGACCAAAUGAAAAAUUGAAUGCUUUCCAUAUUCUUGCAGUAUCUUAUGUACCAUGAAUAUAUCAUUGAAAACACUUUAUAUGAUUAUUGAAAGCCCGGUAAAAUUUUAGAAAUAAAUAUCUAUGUGUAUGCGCAGAGAAUUAUGAAUUUCAUAGAUUUUGUACAUUUACUUAACAAAUAUUUGUUGAGUACCUCCUACAGCUAGACAAUGGCGAUACAGAGAACAAGACAGUAAAAUCUAUGCUCAUAGAUCCUAUAAUUAAAUGGGAAAGAUAGACUCAUGCUCUUCUUAUAAAAUGUACUUGAAAGAGAUAUAUGAAAACAGAGUUACUGGGUGAUGGGAAGAGGUUAUUGGUCAACACAGGCCCCUCUGAAAUGAUAGUGUGAACUAGGAAAGAGUAAGCCAUGCCAAUAGAGGAGGGUGGCCACAUUUUAAGCAAAGGGAAAUGCAAUUGCAAAGGCUCUGAGACAGAAACUUGCCUGAGAAGGAAGAUGAGGGUGUCUAGAGCAUGGUGUACAAGGACGGAUUGACAGAAUAUGAAGUCUAAGAGGCAGAGUCAAGAUCGUGAAAGAGCUUUUUAGAUCAUGUUGAGAGUUUGGAUUUUAUGCUAAAUUGCACUGAAAAGGCAUCAGAAGAUUUUUAAAGCUGGUGUGGAUGAUUAUGAGUUCCCUUUAUAAAGAUAAUUCUGGCAGUUGGGAAGACAGAGAUGCUGGUAGCUUAUACUAGGAUUACAGAAAUGUGUACUAGGACAGUUGCUGUAGAGAGGAAGGGAAGGGAAAUAUAUGGAAUGUAUUUGGGGAGUAGGAGUGCUGAUGAAUUUCACAAAGAAGGUUUUUGCUUUUGUUUUUAAGAAAUCAAGGAUGGCUUGAAAAUAAGUUGUUCUAGAAAUGUGUGUCUUUUUUUUUUUUUUUUAAAGCAGUAUUGGCCCCUCUCUUAAUCAGCUUGAACUAAAGUAACCUCCAUUCAGCCCCAGUAUUUUAUUCAAGGGAACGUUCUGGCUUAUUCGGAUCAUAUUUUGGCCCAGUCCAAAGCCUAACCUUCCUACUCUACCAGGGUUUUAAAGGGAUAAGAGAAACUUAUAACAGAGAAGAGAGUUGAGAAUACUCUGAGAAUAAAAUUUCACAUAGAAUAUCAUGUGUUGUAUUUUACUGUGUGCUAGGCACUGCACUCUAUAUUCUUUUUAAUUAUAUUAUUUAGUUCACUCAACAGUGCUAUUGAGUUAAAUAUAAACUCCAUUAAAAUACAAUUUUGACUGUUUUAAUCAAGGUUAUCAUGAACCCCUAGAAUAUUGCCUAACCAGGUGCUAAACAUAUGUGUUGAAUUAAUUAACUAGGUAUGUAUUACCACUCUCAAUUUAAAUGUGGAAACUGAGACUCACUCAGUUUAAGCCAACUGCUCCAAUUCUCAUAGGUUAUACAACUGAGCAGAAAUAUGAAUUCAUUAAGUAUUCCUCUGCACUUCCUGCAGUUGAUUGGACAAAAAGGCAAAUGCUAAUCUUUGAAAUCUCCAUUCUGAGGCUUUUUGUUAUAAAAAUGUCUGUGCCUCUUUCAAACCCAGAGAUUUGGCUGUGUCAGGAAACUUCGGUUUAGUGAUUUGAGAAAUCAUUUACGAUCACGAUCUCAUUCUCUUUUGCCAAGCCCUUCCCUGUACUGUAUUUAUAGCAAUAUGGGGGUGGCGGAGGAGAUGCCAUGAAAAAAUAGGAAAUAGGAUGAAGGAUGGGUUGGAGGUCCUCUUACCGAAUAAGUCAAGAAAGUGUCAAAGGCUAAAAUGUACUGGGAACUUAUUCACUGAAUCAUACCAAGUCAUUAAUUCCUAAUUGAUUUUUGUUGUCGUCAUUCUAGUUAAGGAUAAAUAAAAGCGCUAAACUAUUGAAAAGAUGUAAAGGAGAAAGCUUAGGGAAGAAAGGAGAGAGGAUGAAAAAGGGACAUUUAUAGGAAAACAAAAUGAGACUACUACCUGAAGAUUUUUUUUCUCUCAAAAAUUUGGGAACUUUCCAGUCACGAGAGGUUCAUGAGAAGUAUUUUAUAUACUGGAAAAUUGUACUUUUCACUUUUUUUCAAGUCCUUUCAGUCCCCAUUUCACAAAGGAACUAUGAAUAACUGUGUCUUAUUACAAAUAAUCCAUCAGAUGUGGAGCAGUUGAAGUUGAAGGGGUGCAGAGUUGAAGGCAACCUGACAUUUUGUGUUCUCUUCAUCCUUUCCUUAUUGCCAAGUGGUGCUGGUUGAGGCUUAUCAGAGCUUUUAAGUGUCCUGUGAGGAAUGAUAUGUGCUACUAGGUUUAGGAUACUUGUCUUUCAGGAUCUCAAAGGACAUUUGUUCUGAGGCGUUGAGACUCUUUUCUUCAUUGGGUAGCUAUAUUGGUACCUUGAUGUUGAGCUCCAAAGAUUAGAGCAGCGGUCGUUCAAAGGGUCCUUAGACUUGAAAAUGUGGGGGCUACUACUAUAUCACUCAAUCUGUUGACCUGUUUGUCAUCGUUUAUAGGGUGAGUGUAUCAUUGAGGACAUUUUUGGUUUGAGUCACAGAAAACCUGAGUUAAACUGGCUCAUGCAAUGAGGGAGUUUAUUGGUUUACAUAAAUGAAAAACAGUGGAAGGGCUAGCUACAAGUGUCAGUUGACCACCUUCUCUGUCUUGCCUUAUUUGCUUCCCUAUUGGCUUUAUUUUCAGAUAUGCUCUCUUUUCAUGGUCAUAAGCUGGAUAUAGCAGCUCUGGACCUUGUAUUCUCUGGGCUUUAAAUCACCUGGGAAGAGCAAGCCUCUUUUUCCUGGAAGUCAAUCAAAAUCUCAAACUUCAGCACUGGCUCUGAUUAGGUCACAUCCCUGUCUCUGAACUAGUAACAGAUACACUGUUUAGCUUAGCCCUGGGCAACCUCCAUGGAGUCAGCAAAUGGGUCUCAGCCAACCUUCACAGACAGAGAUGAAAGCGUGUUUCCUUGCAUGGAUCCAUACUAAAGUAAAUGAAGCUUGAGUGACCAAAGAAGAGUACAUGUUCAUUAGAGCAAAAUUAUAUAUAAGAAGUAGAGGGACUUGAAAAGGAAAGGAAACCAUGAUAGAGAGAAGGAAAGAAGGGCUAAGGAAAAUAUCUCCAUAGACAUGAUCUGUACUUAGAUACAUGUUUACAGUUUAUAAGUAGAUCUUUUUUUUUUAUUACGUAUGUGGAAGAACCUGAGACUGUAUUUCAUGUAAAAAACUAUACUUACUAUAGUUUACUUUUAAAAAAUAUUAACAAAAUACUUUAAAAGAGGGACAGUGAGAAUAAAAAAUAAGAAUAAAUGGUUUUGAGUUUCAUUAUUACCAGGCCCUAUUCAAAUUGUAUUUCUAUCAUACCCAAUAAUAUAUAGAAAAUAUAGAAGUAUCUCUUGUCCCAGCUAUGAAGCUUUAUCUCCAAAAUGGAAACAUUUACAGUCCAUGUUUUAAUAUUGAAUAUUUUUUUUUUCCAAUCAGGCAUUUGGUGAUUGAGCUAUGUUUGAAAGGUCAAACCAACUCCUUCAUGAACUUUUGCUAUCUACAUUUGUACCUACACGCUUGAGAUUUAGUUAACCUAAGCUUUCAAUCCAUAUGCUGAUAAACUUGGCAUUUGUGCACUAAAUCCACCCUACCAACUUUAAGACCCUUAAUCAGCCAAAUUACCUUCCAAGUUGAUUGAUUCCCUGGAACAUCAACUAACAGUGUUGUAAAUAAGGGAGAGAGGUAACAAGGGCGGGGGGAGGUGGCAGUGGCAGAUACGUGAAGUGAAGGGAAAGACAAAGUCACCUACAUAGAGCAGCCUGUGAUGGGCUAGAAAGUGUGGGUUUGGGCACAAUUGUGUAGAACAUUUGUCUCCUUAAAAUGUUGUGUUUGAAACUACUGGGAGUGUUCCCUCAUAUGCUUGGGAAAGCUUGUCAUCUUUAUGUUUGGACUUUGCAAUAACAGACUGUCAGACUGCUGUUUUUGGAGCUGGUAUUCAGAAUAUAGUGAAAAUUGAAAGUGAGAUUGAUAACCCAAUCCUUCUAAUCACCUUCCAGAUGAACACGUAGAAUCCAGAGUCUAGUGCGUUUCUUAAGGUGUUGCUUUUCACUAGGCUGACCUCCAGAAGGAGAUGGCACAUCCCUGCAGGGCUGGAUGCAUCUCCAAGGCCAUUCAGGCAGAACAAGUAGUAUUUCCAUGGAAACCUUGCAUAUGCUCAUGUGUGCAUAGCCCCACCUGGCAUUUGUCCUUCCAGUGACCAAGCCAAAUGAGGCAAUUUGUGCUCCGGCCACUGGAAGCAGGGCUUGCUUCAUUAACACCACAUCAUGCUAGCGGGAUUAUAGAGAAAGGGGUAUUGGUUUCCUUUAGGGAAUGUGAUUUUCCGCUGAGUCCUUGCCAAAGGUCACACUGACAAUGUUUUGAGACAAGCUGGGCCAUACCCUUCAUAUAACUGCUGUGUGUUUUGUGGCCAGAGUUCUUUUUUGUAAACAAAAUCUAAUAUAGCAAGGGCUUACUUACCUUGGAAGAGGGGGAUGCUAUUUACUCAAGGUAGGAAAUUGGCAGUAUAUUAUCAGAGGGUAUUUUCUGAGCAAAUAUUUAAUCAGGACCUCUCCUAUUUGUCUUUUUUGGCCCGAGGAUGUUCUGUGAAAUGCAAUGCAGUUCCACUCUUAUGUUCAUGAUUUACUCAGAGCUUUGCCACAAGCUGUUGUGUAUGCAAAAGAAAGUUCAGUAUUUCUAAUUAUAUUGUGUACCUAGUCUAUUAUCUGAUAUUCCUCUGAAUUGCCAAAUAAAUUUUUAUCAACAUUUCCCAUUGCCAAAUAUCAAGAUCCUGUGAAUUCAUAUUUUGUUAAGUUUUUCAAAGGAUAUCAUGAGUGUAAUAUAAAUAUAGUCACAUAAUCUUACACAGUCUUGCCUUUCUAUGCACAUCAAUGAACCUACCAAAUCCAAUCUAGUUGUGAUUUUUAUAUUUUUCAGUAGCCUGAACAUUUGUUUUUGACAAAUACUCAGGAAUGUUGUCACUUUGCUGAAAUGUGUUUAGUUAACUCAGGUGACAUAUGAAUGGCAUUGAGCAAAAAUAUUAGUGACAUGUAGUUUUAAUGUUCUUUUUCUUUGCAGAGGUCACAUGAAAGUGAGAAUUAAAAUGUUCCCUUUCCUUCUGCAUUGUGUUCUUAUUCUACUUCUUAAUCUUAGUUGAAGAAAUACAUUGUCUGGAUCUCUAAGUUUUGCUGCCGGACAGUGGAAGGAAUGCCUCACACAAUUAUCAUGAUGGGGUGGACAGCACAUAUGGUGACGAUGGUCACUUUGGUGCUAUUGUUCCUGGGAAUACUGAAGUCGUGUUCCAGUAUACAUUCUGAAUAGGUGGCAGCACAGUUCUUUCCCACUCUUGUCCAUCACGUCGUGUAAUGCAAACCACAGGGUAAUUAUGAGAAUUUGUUUUGAGGGUUGGUGACAUAAACAACUACAGUUAACCUCUCACCCAUAAACACGUGGGAAGGUGUGUGAUGCUCCCACCAAGCAUAAAGGGAGAUAUCACUCUACCUGUUUCCAGGAACAUCAUUUAGUGGGAGAAAAGUCUUGACUUCGGGAGUCAGAAACUCCAGUGUCAGAAUUUCACUACUACUUUCCAACUGUGGGAAAUUGGUCAACUUUGCGGACCUUCUUCAUUGUUGUCUUGGGAGAAAUAAGGAGAUGUCUAUAAAAAGAGGUAUGACUGAUCAUUAGCUGUUGAAUCAGUAUGACUCUUUUUCCACUAUACUAUGAUCUUGCUAGGGCAAUAACUAUAUCUUUACCACUUCCAUCUCCCAAACUUACUACAUUUCCUGAAACAUAGAAUACAUUCCAUAAAUGGUCAUCGAAUGAAUGAGUGAAUGCUAACAUUUAACAACUGCAGACAGUCACACCAGAGAUUGAAAUUAAAAACAAACCAAGCCCAUAACAAUAGUCCAAAAGCCUAGAUCACCUUAUUUGGCCCAGUUGUGACAAAGAAGAUACAACUAAGCUUGAGGAGCCCUUCUAACAGUUGACAAUAUAGCUUUGAAACUUCUGUCAUAGAUACUAAGCAAUGUAAUCUUUGAUUAUUAAAAAUAGUGGUUUUAAGAAGUUCCCCUUGUGGCUCAGGAGUAACAAACCCAGCUAGUACCCAUGAGGAUGCUCAGUGGGUUAAGUACCAGGCAUUGCUUUGGCUGUGGUGUAGGCCUGCAGUUACAGCUCCAAUUCAACCCCUAGCCUGGGAACUUCCAUAUGCCACAGGUGUGGCCCUAAAAAGCAAAAGCAGGACAAAAAAAAAAAAAAAA